RNAcentral lists this ribosomal RNA (586 nucleotides) under uncultured bacterium. RNAcentral's name for it is "bacterial SSU rRNA". It matches the Rfam family "Bacterial small subunit ribosomal RNA", at positions 338 to 916 of the family's 1533-position model. The record is from RNAcentral.
CCUACGGGAGGCAGCAGUAGGGAAUCUUCCGCAAUGGACGAAAGUCUGACGGAGCAACGCCGCGUGAACGAUGAAGGCCUUCGGGUCGUAAAGUUCUGUUGUUAGGGAAGAACAAGUGCUAGUUAAAUAAGCUGGCACCUUGACGGUACCUAACCAGAAAGCCACGGCUAACUACGUGCCAGCAGCCGCGGUAAUACGUAGGUGGCAAGCGUUGUCCGGAAUUAUUGGGCGUAAAGCGCGCGCAGGCGGUUUCUUAAGUCUGAUGUGAAAGCCCCCGGCUCAACCGGGGAGGGUCAUUGGAAACUGGGAAACUUGAGUGCAGAAGAGGAAAGUGGAAUUCCAAGUGUAGCGGUGAAAUGCGUAGAGAUUUGGAGGAACACCAGUGGCGAAGGCGACUUUCUGGUCUGUAACUGACGCUGAGGCGCGAAAGCGUGGGGAGCAAACAGGAUUAGAUACCCUGGUAGUCCACGCUGUAAACGAUGAGUGCUAAGUGUUAGAGGGUUUCCGCCUUUAGUGCUGAAGUUAACGCAUUAAGCACUCCGCCUGGGGAGUACGGUGCAAGACUGAAACUUAAAGGAAUUGACGG